GAGCGGACAGAUGGGAGCUUGCUCCCUGAUGUUAGCGGCGGACGGGUGAGUAACACGUGGGUAACCUGCCUGUAAGACUGGGAUAACUCCGGGAAACCGGGGCUAAUACCGGAUGGUUGUUUGAACCGCAUGGUUCAAACAUAAAAGGUGGCUUCGGCUACCACUUACAGAUGGACCCGCGGCGCAUUAGCUAGUUGGUGAGGUAACGGCUCACCAAGGCAACGAUGCGUAGCCGACCUGAGAGGGUGAUCGGCCACACUGGGACUGAGACACGGCCCAGACUCCUACGGGAGGCAGCAGUAGGGAAUCUUCCGCAAUGGACGAAAGUCUGACGGAGCAACGCCGCGUGAGUGAUGAAGGUUUUCGGAUCGUAAAGCUCUGUUGUUAGGGAAGAACAAGUACCGUUCGAAUAGGGCGGUACCUUGACGGUACCUAACCAGAAAGCCACGGCUAACUACGUGCCAGCAGCCGCGGUAAUACGUAGGUGGCAAGCGUUGUCCGGAAUUAUUGGGCGUAAAGGGCUCGCAGGCGGUUUCUUAAGUCUGAUGUGAAAGCCCCCGGCUCAACCGGGGAGGGUCAUUGGAAACUGGGGAACUUGAGUGCAGAAGAGGAGAGUGGAAUUCCACGUGUAGCGGUGAAAUGCGUAGAGAUGUGGAGGAACACCAGUGGCGAAGGCGACUCUCUGGUCUGUAACUGACGCUGAGGAGCGAAAGCGUGGGGAGCGAACAGGAUUAGAUACCCUGGUAGUCCACGCCGUAAACGAUGAGUGCUAAGUGUUAGGGGGUUUCCGCCCCUUAGUGCUGCAGCUAACGCAUUAAGCACUCCGCCUGGGGAGUACGGUCGCAAGACUGAAACUCAAAGGAAUUGACGGGCCCCCCC
Molecule: ribosomal RNA, 879 nt
Filed under: Bacillus subtilis
Lineage: Bacteria; Bacillati; Bacillota; Bacilli; Caryophanales; Bacillaceae
Description: bacterial SSU rRNA
Rfam family: Bacterial small subunit ribosomal RNA
Source: RNAcentral